AUAAAGCCAAUCUGCAAAUUCAAAAGUAGAAAGAUCGCCACACAAACAAACAAGCACAUACUGAUGAGAAAAAGAGAAAACCACAUUACACAAAUGAUGGAAUCAAAGAAGAAAACGGAAAGAAAAAGAUAUCGCAUACCUUUGAAGAAAGCUUGAGACCUCUCUUCCACCGUCAAGUUAUGUCGCUCAAAUCUAGCGAGGAACAGAAUAGGUCUGCUAGGUGUGCUGUUACUGUUACAAGUUUUCUACUCGUUGAAAAAAAAAAGGAAAAUGGAAAACAGAAAUGAAAAAUGAAAAAUGGAAAACAGAAAACCGAAAACCAAAUGGACCCUAAAUGAUCAGUGUCAAAAAAAUUCCACAACUCGUAAUGCUUAUCCUCGUAGAAGGC
Molecule: long non-coding RNA, 388 nt
Organism: Tripterygium wilfordii
Lineage: Eukaryota; Viridiplantae; Streptophyta; Magnoliopsida; Celastrales; Celastraceae
Exons: 3
Source: RefSeq, a predicted model, not a curated record